RNAcentral lists this ribosomal RNA (234 nucleotides) under uncultured Neisseriales bacterium. RNAcentral describes it as "partial 16S ribosomal RNA". It matches the Rfam family "Bacterial small subunit ribosomal RNA", at positions 97 to 334 of the family's 1533-position model. The record is from RNAcentral. Lineage: Bacteria; Pseudomonadati; Pseudomonadota; Betaproteobacteria; Neisseriales.
GGCGAACGGGUGAGUAAUAUAUCGGAACGUACCGAGUAAUGGGGGAUAACUAAUCGAAAGAUUAGCUAAUACCGCAUAUUCUCUGAGGAGGAAAGCAGGGGACCUUCGGGCCUUGCGUUAUUCGAGCGGCCGAUAUCUGAUUAGCUAGUUGGUGGGGUAAAGGCCUACCAAGGCGGCGAUCAGUAGCGGGUCUGAGAGGAUGAUCCGCCACACUGGGACUGAGACACGGCCCAG